CCUACGGGAGGCAGCAGUGGGGAAUAUUGGGCAAUGGGCGCAAGCCUGACCCAGCAACGCCGCGUGAAGGAAGAAGGCUUUCGGGUUGUAAACUUCUUUUCUCAGGGACGAAGCAAGGGACGGUACCGGAGGAAUAAGCCACGGCUAACUACGGGCCAGCAGCCGCGGUAAUACGUAGGUGGCAAGCGUUAACCGGAUUUACUGGGUGUAAAGGGCGGGUAGGCGGGCAAGCAAGUCAGAUGGGCAACCCCUGUGCCCAACCGGUGGCCUGCAUUGGCAACUGUUUUUCUUGAGUACUGGAGAGGCAGCCGGAAUUCCUAUUGUAGCGGUGAAAUGCGUAGAUAUUAG
RNAcentral lists this ribosomal RNA (348 nucleotides) under uncultured bacterium. RNAcentral's name for it is "partial 16S ribosomal RNA". It matches the Rfam family "Bacterial small subunit ribosomal RNA", at positions 338 to 700 of the family's 1533-position model. The record is from RNAcentral.